RNAcentral lists this ribosomal RNA (788 nucleotides) under uncultured bacterium. Its description in RNAcentral is "bacterial SSU rRNA". It matches the Rfam family "Bacterial small subunit ribosomal RNA", at positions 8 to 809 of the family's 1533-position model. The record is from RNAcentral.
AGAGGGUGCUUUUGGCUCAGGACGAACGCUGGCGGCGCGCCUAACACAUGCAAGUCGAACGAGCGAGAGAGAGCUUGCUUUCUCGAGCGAGUGGCGAACGGGUGAGUAACGCGUGAGGAACCUGCCUCAAAGAGGGGGACAACAGUUGGAAACGACUGCUAAUACCGCAUAAGCCCACGGGUCGGCAUCGACCAGAGGGAAAAGGAGCAAUCCGCUUUGAGAUGGCCUUGCGUCCGAUUAGCUAGUUGGUGAGGUAAUGGCCCACCAAGGCAACGAUCGGUAGCCGGACUGAGAGGUUGAACGGCCACAUUGGGACUGAGACACGGCCCAGACUCCUACGGGAGGCAGCAGUGGGGAAUAUUGCACAAUGGGGGAAACCCUGAUGCAGCGACGCCGCGUGGAGGAAGAAGGUCUUCGGAUUGUAAACUCCUGUUGUUGAGGAAGAUAAUGACGGUACUCAACAAGGAAGUGACGGCUAACUACGUGCCAGCAGCCGCGGUAAAACGUAGGUCACAAGCGUUGUCCGGAAUUACUGGGUGUAAAGGGAGCGCAGGCGGGAAGACAAGUUGGAAGUGAAAUCUAUGGGCUCAACCCAUAAACUGCUUUCAAAACUGUUUUUCUUGAGUAGUGCAGAGGUAGGCGGAAUUCCCGGUGUAGCGGUGGAAUGCGUAGAUAUCGGGAGGAACACCAGUGGCGAAGGCGGCCUACUGGGCACCAACUGACGCUGAGGCUCGAAAGUGUGGGUAGCAAACAGGAUUAGAUACCCUGGUAGUCCACACCGUAAACGA